CCUACGGGGGGCUGCAGUGGGGAAUAUUGGACAAUGGGGGGAACCCUGAUCCAGCCAUGCCGCGUGUGUGAAGAAGGUCCUCGGGUUGUAAAGCACUUUCAGUGAGGAAGAACGCCUGGUGGUUAAUACCCAUCAGGAAAGACAUCACUCACAGAAGAAGCACCGGCUAACUCCGUGCCAGCAGCCGCGGUAAUACGGAGGGUGCGAGCGUUAAUCGGAAUUACUGGGCGUAAAGCGCGCGUAGGUGGCUUGAUAAGCCGGUUGUGAAAGCCCCGGGCUCAACCUGGGAACGGCAUCCGGAACUGUCAAGCUAGAGUGCAGGAGAGGAAGGUAGAAUUCCCGGUGUAGCGGUGAAAUGCGUAGAGAUCGGGAGGAAUACCAGUGGCGAAGGCGGCCUUCUGGACUGACACUGACACUGAGGUGCGAAAGCGUGGGUAGCAAACAGGAUUAGAUACCCCGGUAGUC
Molecule: ribosomal RNA, 465 nt
Filed under: Vreelandella stevensii
Lineage: Bacteria; Pseudomonadati; Pseudomonadota; Gammaproteobacteria; Oceanospirillales; Halomonadaceae
Description: partial 16S ribosomal RNA
Rfam family: Bacterial small subunit ribosomal RNA
Source: RNAcentral